AACAGAUCAUGAACCUGGAGCCCAGGCAAGGUAGGUGAGUUGCUCAAGGUCAUUCAGUGAGAGAACACCACGGUCAAGUCACCUGCCACCUGGACUCCGAUUGCACACACAUAGACCUAUUUAUUUAUUUGUCAUCAGAUGCUAUCCAGGAUAUAGAGUGUGCCCAAGAGAAGGAGCUGUCAGUUUCUCCCUAUCCAAAGUUGGUUGCUACACAAAUGACUGGAAUGAACCAUGGGCCAAGAGAAUGUGAGGGCACAAGAAUGGCCAGACACAAUCCUCUCCUUGCACUCCCCAGACCCACUCAGGCUUUCCAUUAAAACUUGUCUGCCAAGAACCUUCAGGGUAUGAGCUGACCACAGUCUCUUCCACAGACUUAAUACAGGAAGAAUAUGGGAGGAAGAGUGGAAGAAACUUCUGACCCACUACUCCAACUGAUCCGUCCUCCAGGACUCAUUCUCAAUAUCCUCAUUCUUGGCUACCAGUUCAGCAGGUCUAAGCUGAUGACCUGGUGAAGUAACCCAGACCUUCAUCUCUAAGAAUCGGAGUAUUUAGUUGCCUUACCAUUGUUGGGCAUUUAUAGUUAUUGAGGGCAUGGAAGUAUGGAGACAUCUCAUUGAAUUUCCUGGCUUCCAGACAUGUAUCUUCCUGCCUUUGUUAUGUAGCAGCAACUCUGACUCUCUAUGGUAACAAACACAAAACUCCCGUCUUUAUCUGAUGAUCCACUAUCAUGAACUAUUCAAAAUGACCUGGCAGUGGUCAUGGUUUCAAGUUCAGUGGUAUUCUUAUCAUAUCAUCCAGAAAUGCAUCUCCACCCUUACCCUAGGAACCAGGACCUCUAAUCCAGUAGAGCAAUAAGCUGACAAGAAUAAGAAGUACUAAUUCUGCAAAUGAGUCACUGGGAGUGAUGGAGCCAAUCUUAUUUCUAUUCCUUGUUUCCUGAACCUGUGUAUUCUGUUAGACAAAGUACCAUAUAUUGAUUGUUGCUUCAAUAAAUACAACUUCACCCUGAAGACAGCAAC
RNAcentral lists this long non-coding RNA (1019 nucleotides) under Homo sapiens (human). RNAcentral's name for it is "HSALNT0082242". The record is from RNAcentral. Lineage: Eukaryota; Metazoa; Chordata; Mammalia; Primates; Hominidae.